This 124-nucleotide microRNA precursor is filed under the name Hordeum vulgare. RNAcentral's name for it is "microRNA MIR1122". It matches the Rfam family "MIR1120/MIR1122 microRNA precursor family". The record is from RNAcentral. Lineage: Eukaryota; Viridiplantae; Streptophyta; Magnoliopsida; Poales; Poaceae.
UAAAUACUUUCUCCGUCCGAAAAUACUUGUCUUAAAAAUGGAUAUAAUAGAUGUAUCUAUAACUAAAAUAAGUUUAGAUACAUUCAUCUUUAGGACAAGUAUUUCCGGACGGAGGGAGUAUAAG